This 312-nucleotide long non-coding RNA is filed under the name Dromaius novaehollandiae (emu). Its description in RNAcentral is "lncRNA (ENSDNVG00000007717.1)". The record is from RNAcentral. Lineage: Eukaryota; Metazoa; Chordata; Aves; Casuariiformes; Dromaiidae.
GUUCUGCAGCCCAGUCAGAGCAGGAGCCGUAACCUGGAAAACUGGCCACAGUAUGAAGGUGUUGGCUGCAGAAAUGAGUAUGAGGUUGCAAGGAUUUAUGAAUUCAGGGACUGAUUUACAUCCAAAAAUGAUAAAAGGAAAUCACUGCACCAACAGAAGUUCAAACCGAAUAAAACCAAAAGUAGGGGACAUGGCAAAUUCUCUGAUCUAAGGAAAGGGGAGAAAGGUGAAAUUAAUGUGGUGGUGCUCUGAAUUUUCAUUUCAAGGAUGUUCUUCAUUCAUCAAAUACAGGAAAAAAGGUUGGUAUUUUAU